This is a long non-coding RNA of Lontra canadensis (Northern American river otter), 171 nucleotides long. RefSeq lists it as uncharacterized. NCBI's taxonomy places the organism in Eukaryota, Metazoa, Chordata, Mammalia, Carnivora, Mustelidae. The transcript is spliced from 3 exons. The record is from RefSeq and is a predicted model, not a curated record.
AGCUGCAGGGUCAGUGAAAAAUACAGAAAGGCAGGUACUCCUGGGCCUAUGCAGAUGAUGGUAUCCUGAUACUUUACUUAGGAAAAGAAAAAGAAUCCUGCAGCUUUCUUUGCUGCCUUGGAGCACCCGAUGCAUGGCUGGCGUUUUAGACCUGUUAAUGAUGUCAAAAGA